RNAcentral lists this ribosomal RNA (252 nucleotides) under uncultured bacterium. RNAcentral's name for it is "partial 16S ribosomal RNA". It matches the Rfam family "Bacterial small subunit ribosomal RNA", at positions 524 to 776 of the family's 1533-position model. The record is from RNAcentral.
UACGUAGGUCCCGAGCGUUGUCCGGAUUUAUUGGGCGUAAAGCGAGCGCAGGUGGUUUAUUAAGUCUGGUGUAAAAGGCAGUGGCUCAACCAUUGUAUGCAUUGGAAACUGGUAGACUUGAGUGCAGGAGAGGAGAGUGGAAUUCCAUGUGUAGCGGUGAAAUGCGUAGAUAUAUGGAGGAAGACCGGUGGCGAAAGCGGCUCUCUGGCCUGUAACUGACACUGAGGCUCGAAAGCGUGGGGAGCAAACAGG